This is a long non-coding RNA of Lactuca sativa (garden lettuce), 236 nucleotides long. RefSeq lists it as uncharacterized. The record is from RefSeq and is a predicted model, not a curated record. Lineage: Eukaryota; Viridiplantae; Streptophyta; Magnoliopsida; Asterales; Asteraceae.
UGAUCGUAUAUUUGUUGGGGGUUUACCGUAUUACUUUACUGAGGUACAGAUAAGAGAGCUGCUAGAAUCCUUUGGACCGCUGCGUGGGUUUGAUCUUGUGAAGGAUAGAGAUACUGGAAACUCUAAAGGAUAUGGUUUAUGUGUCUAUGAGGAUCAAGCAGCCACAGACGUUGCCUGUGCUGCACUUAAUGGCUUAAAAAUAGGGGAUAAAACACUCACAGUCAGACGUGCAACCA